UGCAGGGGGUGGUUGCACACGGA
This 23-nucleotide microRNA is filed under the name Mus musculus (house mouse). Its description in RNAcentral is "mmu-miR-7067-5p". The record is from miRBase by way of RNAcentral. Lineage: Eukaryota; Metazoa; Chordata; Mammalia; Rodentia; Muridae.